GACACUCUGGCCGAGUGGUUAAGGCGACGGCCUGCUAAGCCGUUUCAUUCGUGAGCACAGGUUCGAAUCCUGUGGGUGUCG
This is a non-coding RNA of Bacidia gigantensis, 81 nucleotides long. The record is from the annotation of a RefSeq genome assembly. NCBI's taxonomy places the organism in Eukaryota, Fungi, Ascomycota, Lecanoromycetes, Lecanorales, Ramalinaceae.